UGCGUAGACGGUUAUUGUAAGUCGGGUGUGAAAGCCCCGGGCUCAACCUGGGAAUUGCAUUCGAGACUGCAUAGCUAGGGUGCGGAAGAGGGAAGCGGAAUUUCCGGUGUAGCGGUGAAAUGCGUAGAUAUCGGAAGGAACACCAGUGGCGAAAGCGGCUUCCUGGUCCAGCACCGACGUUCAGGCACGAAAGCGUGGGGAGCAAACGAGGAUUAGAUACCCUGGUAGUCCACGCCAUAAACGAUGAGAACUAGACGUUGAGAGGGUAAGCCUCGCAGUGUCGUAGCUAACGCGCUAAGUUCUCCGCCUGGGGAGUACGGCCGCAAGGUUGAA
Molecule: ribosomal RNA, 333 nt
Filed under: uncultured bacterium
Lineage: Bacteria
Description: bacterial SSU rRNA
Rfam family: Bacterial small subunit ribosomal RNA
Source: RNAcentral